CACACCGCGGAAUCAUUUUACAGUCCCCGUCAGGACCUUUUUUGAAUUCACGCUUUCAUGUCUUUAAGGGACAGAUGGGAGGCAUGAAGUGACGUUGGAUGGAUUCUGAGGGAGCACUCAAACACGGCCGGUCGUAUUAUCACGGCACCCACACAACCACUCCUCUCAGGGACUGGCGGAGAUGCGGCUGAGGGGACAGGACUGCAGAGUUUGGAGGGACUGGAGGAGAUGCGGAUGAGGGGACAGGUCUGCGGAGCUAGCACUGAGCGCUGGGACGGAGAGGCUUCGUGGUGUCUUGGCUGGGUGAGCAGGUGUCGGACACCUCAGUCACCUUGGACGUAUCCUCGCUCAUCCAUGCGGACUGGACACUGGCCGAGAGUGGAGUCUGCUGUCUCGGUUGCUUUGUUGGGUCUGCUCCUGUCUUUGGCCAUGCUCCCUCCACCCCAGCGGACGAUGGCGUGGAACACCGCAGAGGCCACCACAGUGCAUAUGUUUAUUUUACUUUUUAUUCAUAGCUGUAUGUAGAAGUGUCUGCUUGUAUAUGCUGCUUUAAUGUCUUUAAUGUCCUCUGUGUUCUUUGAUGUUUGAUGUUUCCCUCUUACACACAUGGAAGAGGGAUGUGUACCAUGGCUAUGAGUUGUUGUUUUUUUCCCUUGGCCUCAGUCUGCACCCCCUCUCCAGGGCCCAGCCUAAGACCGAUUUUUAUUUUAUUUUAUUUUAAUCUUCUAUUUUUU
This is a long non-coding RNA of Nerophis ophidion (straightnose pipefish), 734 nucleotides long. RefSeq lists it as uncharacterized. Lineage: Eukaryota; Metazoa; Chordata; Actinopteri; Syngnathiformes; Syngnathidae. The transcript is spliced from 3 exons. The record is from RefSeq and is a predicted model, not a curated record.